UAUGAAGAACGUAGCGAAAUGCGAUACGUAAUGUGAAUUGCAGAUUUCAGUGAAUCAUCGAAUCUUUGAACGCACAUUGCGCCCGCCAGUAUUCUGGCGGGCAUGCCUGUUCGAGCGUCAUUUCAACCAUCAAGCCUUCGCUUGUGUUGGGGCCCCGCGGCUGCCGCGGUCCCCUAAAUCCAGUGGCGGGCUCGUCGUCGUACCGAGCGCAGUAGACAUCCUCGCUCCGGGAACCCGACGGGUGCCGGCCGUGAAACCCCCCACAUCAAGGUUGACCUCGGAUCAGGUAGGAAUACCCGCUGAACUUAAGCAUAUCAAUAAGCGGAGGA
RNAcentral lists this unclassified non-coding RNA (329 nucleotides) under soil metagenome. Its description in RNAcentral is "partial contains 5.8S ribosomal RNA, internal transcribed spacer 2, and large subunit ribosomal RNA". The stretch from base 2 to 120 matches the Rfam family "5.8S ribosomal RNA", at positions 36 to 154 of the family's 154-position model. The record is from RNAcentral.